Molecule: ribosomal RNA, 536 nt
Filed under: Colletotrichum gloeosporioides
Lineage: Eukaryota; Fungi; Ascomycota; Sordariomycetes; Glomerellales; Glomerellaceae
Description: eukaryotic LSU rRNA
Rfam family: 5.8S ribosomal RNA (bases 164-317)
Source: RNAcentral
ACGCUCUUAACCCUUUGUGAACAUACCUAUAACUGUUGCUUCGGCGGGUAGGGUCUCCGUGACCCUCCCGGCCUCCCGCCCCCGGGCGGGUCGGCGCCCGCCGGAGGAUAACCAAACUCUGAUUUAACGACGUUUCUUCUGAGUGGUACAAGCAAAUAAUCAAAACUUUUAACAACGGAUCUCUUGGUUCUGGCAUCGAUGAAGAACGCAGCGAAAUGCGAUAAGUAAUGUGAAUUGCAGAAUUCAGUGAAUCAUCGAAUCUUUGAACGCACAUUGCGCCCGCCAGCAUUCUGGCGGGCAUGCCUGUUCGAGCGUCAUUUCAACCCUCAAGCUCUGCUUGGUGUUGGGGCCCUACAGCUGAUGUAGGCCCUCAAAGGUAGUGGCGGACCCUCCCGGAGCCUCCUUUGCGUAGUAACUUUACGUCUCGCACUGGGAUCCGGAGGGACUCUUGCCGUAAAACCCCCCAAUUUUCCAAAGGUUGACCUCGGAUCAGGUAGGAAUACCCGCUGAACUUAAGCAUAUCAAUAAGCGGAGGA